This is a long non-coding RNA of Bos indicus x Bos taurus (hybrid cattle), 1096 nucleotides long. The record is from Ensembl. Lineage: Eukaryota; Metazoa; Chordata; Mammalia; Artiodactyla; Bovidae.
GCAAUAGCAUCGCGAUUAUAGAAAGUAGGCAGCAUAUCCAGUCCCUGGCUCGUUAUGUUUAAUAAUGAAUGGAUAAGUGGGGGCGCAGUACCAAAACAUUUAGCAAUCACUAAGGAAUGAGAUGCGAAAUUACUGCUUUCCUAGACUUAUAAGAUAGGCUGUUGUGCUGGAGAGAGAAAUACAUGGUAUUAUAAAGUUUCUUCUUUAAAAAAAGCAAUUUCCAUGAAGCGUUUAGGAUACCUAUGACCUUUUCCAUAGGCCAGCGUGGCCAGUGAACCUCAGUUUACCUCAACUGUUAACUUGUAGACGAGAAGGGAAGGACAUUUUUUGUGCAUUUACCAGUGCUAGAUCCUCGGCUAACCGUUUUACUGCAUACUAUCUUUUUUACGAUGAUUCUCUGAAGUACGUGUUCUCUCUUUUUUUAACAGAUGAAUUCAUUUAGGCCCAGAGAGAUGAAGUGACUAAUUGAAGGUCACACAGUGUCCAGGAUGGAUUCCAGACCUUCUGAUACACUUAUUGAAAAUUUUAUCCACUGGGUCUUUCUUCCCAAGACUGCCCAGUGGAGUGAAGUUGCUCAGUCACGUCCGACUCUUUGCGACCCCAUUGACUGUAGCCUACCAGGUUCCUCCAUCCACGGGAUUUUCCAGGCAAGAAUACUGGAGUUGGUUGCCAUUUUCUUCUCUAGGAGGUCUUUGCGACUCAGGGAUUGAACCUGGGUCUCCUGCAUUGUAGGCAGACGCUUUACUGUCUGAACCACCAGGAAAGUCAUAAACGUUUUCUUCCAGAUGUAUUUCUUUAAUCUCUUCAUGUCUGAAUAUGUCUGGGACUUUACUUACCUUCCCAACAAGGCCUUCCGUUUCCCAGAUCUCAGCACUGACCUCUUCAGAGUCUUAUACCCCUUCCCUUGGAUAGCCCACAUUUAGCUUUUGAUGAAAUUAUAGUGUGUCUUGCUGUUGGUAAUGCGUUGUAUGGGCCUCAGGUGUUUUGCGUGACCCUGAGAUCAGGCAAAGAGGGCACUGGACACGGGAACUGGUGGCUCUGGCCCCUAGCUCCAGCUCUGCCACUGGCUGGCUUUUAGACUUCUACAAUCAAGUUC